Molecule: ribosomal RNA, 253 nt
Filed under: uncultured bacterium
Lineage: Bacteria
Description: partial 16S ribosomal RNA
Rfam family: Bacterial small subunit ribosomal RNA
Source: RNAcentral
UACGAAGGGUGCAAGCGUUAUUCGGAUUUAUUGGGUGUAAAGGGUGCGUAGACGGCAUAUUAAGUCCGCUGUUAAAUUUCCCGGCCUAACUGGGAGCCAGCGGUGGAUACUGAUGUGCUAGAGGAUGGAAGAGAGAAGUGGAAUUCCCGGAGUAGCGGUAAAAUGCGUAGAUCUCGGGAGGAACACCAAUGGCGAAGGCAGCUUCUUGGUCCAUAUCUGACGUUGAGGCACGAAAGCGUGGGGAGCGAACGGG